CCCCCAAACAGCUAAAAGUAUAUAAUGGUGCUUUGAACAGGAUCCUAAAGAGCUAUUUCCAUAAAGUGGUCCAAUUCUUUUUAGAGAUGCAUCCCUGAAGUGGAGCACAAGACCUCAAGGUUGCUGGAGCCGCAGGGGAAAGGGACGCAAGGGGGGGCAACCAUGACACCACACGCAGACUUCAGAUGGAGACAAUGGAGAACAAGUUCCAUUGAACACUGACUUUGUCCAGCCUUCAAAAGUCUACUAAAAGCUAUGACUGGAGAGAAAAUAACAAUCCUGCUUCUCUCGAUGGGACUGACCCAGUUUAGACUGCAGUGUGUUGAGAUGA
Molecule: long non-coding RNA, 331 nt
Organism: Pezoporus occidentalis (night parrot)
Lineage: Eukaryota; Metazoa; Chordata; Aves; Psittaciformes; Psittacidae
Exons: 3
Source: RefSeq, a predicted model, not a curated record